AACGACUCCCGGCAACGGAUAUCUAUCCUCUCGCAUCAUUGAAAAACUCUCCGAAAUGCGAUACGUGGUGUGAAUUGCAUAAUCCCGUGAACCAUCGAAUCUUUGAACGCAAGUUGCGCCCGAGGCCACUAUUGCGAGGGCACCCCUGCCUGGGAGUCACCC
Molecule: ribosomal RNA, 162 nt
Filed under: Leucocasia gigantea
Lineage: Eukaryota; Viridiplantae; Streptophyta; Magnoliopsida; Alismatales; Araceae
Description: 5.8S ribosomal RNA
Rfam family: 5.8S ribosomal RNA
About the family: 5.8S ribosomal RNA (5.8S rRNA) is a component of the large subunit of the eukaryotic ribosome. It is transcribed by RNA polymerase I as part of the 45S precursor that also contains 18S and 28S rRNA.
Source: RNAcentral